CCCCUAAAAAACGACAAACCCUACAGUUCGGAUUGAAGGCUGAAAUUCGCCUUCCAUGAAGCUGGAAUUGCUAGUAAUGGCAGGUCAGCAUACUGCCGUGAAUACGUUCCCGGGCCCUUGUACACACCGCCCGUCACACCAUGAGAGUUGGGAAUACCCGAAGCCUGUGAGCUAACUUAUAGAGGCAGCAGUCGAAGGUAGAAUCAAUGAUUGGGGUGAAGUCGUAACAAGGUAUC
RNAcentral lists this ribosomal RNA (236 nucleotides) under uncultured bacterium. RNAcentral's name for it is "partial 16S ribosomal RNA". It matches the Rfam family "Bacterial small subunit ribosomal RNA", at positions 1261 to 1500 of the family's 1533-position model. The record is from RNAcentral.